UCCCCAUACCCUGUCCAGUAUGGGCGCCAAAAUACAUAAAGUCUCCAUACCCCGUCCGGUAUGAGAGACCACGUUCCCGGUAGGGUUCCCUACGGACCCGGUCCGUCCACCAUCUCCCAGGAUAUCUAGUCAGGCUCUCCACAUUAUCCACUUAUCAAUUCACAUAACCUUUUUGCUUUUUUCCUUAAUCUCAAUCAUCCAAUCAUACAAAACAUGUAAAGCAGUAAUUGACACCAAAUAAGACAAUACAGUAUCGGGUUCACCAUAAUACAAACCAUAAUAAAAAGAACCAUAGUUCAUACAUACGAGACCAUAACAUAAUUACAUCAAACAUCAUGCUGCAUUUAAUACUAGAAAUUAAAUCAAACAAUAACAGACCAACACCGUAUCAGACUCGGACUCCAUUGGCAACCUUAAUCAAUUAUACAUCUAUAAAGUCACACAGUACAUUUUAAUUAUUUAUUUAGCUUUAAUACCGUGAUAGGAAAUAGGGUGAUGGGUCCUUACUUAUUUCGGGGUCUGAAAUUGACUUUACAGUGCACCUACGGGCUGUCCCUAAUUUCCCUAAAUUUUUUUCAAAAAACUAAAAAACACUACCGGUACCUGCACGUGACCCAAAAAAUCCCAAAUCAGACCUAGGGCCCCUUUCAACCAAUAUCAAAAUUCCAGCACGAUGGCGAUUCGCCUCGGGUUGGCCAUUUUCAGCCAAAUUCAUCCACAUUUGCAUCGGUCCCUGUGAUAAAACAACCUUAGGGCCCUCGGUGGGCCAAAAAAUACGAAAAACUGAGACUUACCGGCGGUGGUGCUCUCGGGUGCGGCGGCUCCUCCGGCGUGAGUCGCAUUUUGAUGUUUGGCUCUGAUCAACCUGUAGAGAAAAGAACGGUG
RNAcentral lists this long non-coding RNA (885 nucleotides) under Carica papaya (papaya). RNAcentral's name for it is "long non-coding RNA (CPAP_LNC003873)". Lineage: Eukaryota; Viridiplantae; Streptophyta; Magnoliopsida; Brassicales; Caricaceae. The record is from RNAcentral.